Non-coding RNA from Carica papaya (papaya), 839 nucleotides. The record is from RefSeq and is a predicted model, not a curated record. NCBI's taxonomy places the organism in Eukaryota, Viridiplantae, Streptophyta, Magnoliopsida, Brassicales, Caricaceae.
UUUUAGCUGAUCUGAACUCCGAAUAUGAUCAAUUACGGGUGCAAGUGUUUGGUAAGGAUCUUUUUUCUUCAUUAGAACAAACUUAUGCUUAUGUUCAGAAAGAAAAGAGUAGAAGAAAUGUCAUAUUUCACAUUGCACCAGUUGAGAAGGCUGGAUUAGUGGCUCAGUUUGAUCUAUCCAGAGAUAUAUGGAAGUGUGACUAUUGUGAUAAGCCAAGACACACAAGGAAAACUUGUUGGAAGUUGCAUGUAAAACUAAUUAGAGGUCGGGGAGGAAGAAAAGAUGGAACCACAAGAGCUCAAGCAAAUUUUGUUGAAGUUAGGGAAACACCUGCUUCACCAUCCGUUAGAGCCUUUUCCACAUAAGAAAUUCAAAAUCUGAAGCAACUUCUGAGUCAACUUAAUUCUUCAUCAACUGUUGGCAUAUCAAAUAUGGUAAAAUCAGAUAUUGCUCAUCCUAUUUUCACUCCUGAUAAUUGGAUUAUAGAUUCUGGAGCUAACAGACAUAUGACAAACUAUUCUAAAGAAUUCUUAACCUAUUCUUGUUGUACUGAAGGGGAUAAUGUCCGUAUAGCAGAUGAGUCAUACACUCCCGUGUCGGGAACAGGAUCUUUAAAUCGGGAAGAGGAUUGACACUAGUAAGCUGUAAGAUGGUUUAUAUGUUUUGAAUAGACAUCUGAAUUUAAUUGGAAAUCAAGCAACCACUGGGAAUAAAGAAGUCAAUAUGGAGAUACUACAAUGGCACCGAUGAUUGGAACAACUUUCCUUUUUUAUUUUAGAAAAAUUAUAUUUUAAGUUAUUUAAAAGAACUUUUAAUAGAAGUACUGAUAUUUUUAUGAC